Molecule: long non-coding RNA, 642 nt
Filed under: Leguminivora glycinivorella
Lineage: Eukaryota; Metazoa; Arthropoda; Insecta; Lepidoptera; Tortricidae
Description: uncharacterized LOC125225833
Source: RNAcentral
UUUAAAAAACUGGAAAAAUGAAAUUAAUAUUAGAUAUUUGUGUUAUUUAUACCCAACGCAACAAGUGAUUGGUGAACAAACCUGGCGAAAUCCAGCCUAGUUCAGUGGACGUAACUAAACAUGGAUACAUAACCUUCAAGCAAAGUUUCAACAUCUAAUUGGGAUUUCUCUGGAAAGUUUACAAUGUCCGAUAUUUCUACACAUCUGCCACAAAUUUAUGGAAAUCAAUAUUUAUAGAAACUGAACAUACCUUGGUUAAACGUAUAUGAAAUGGAUUAUCAUCAUUGAAGAACAUCAACCAGCUGUUGGCAACAUGCAGGUUGACUGAGGAAUCCCCAGUGCGUGGUCACGGACCGUUCCCCAUAUAUCUACUGACUUCAUAUAAAUGAAAGUCUCGCUGAUCUGCACAACCAGCUCAUGUUCAACGUUACUGAACUACAAAGUAAUCCGACAAUCAGACUAGACCCGGUCAUAUCAGAUACCAGAGGAAGACGAAAAUAUAAUUGAUUCUGUACUGAUGCACGACCUCGCCCGGAACGCGGCAAGAAUUAACAAUGGAAUAAAAUACUACAGACGUGUUUAUUAACGAUAAAGUUAUUUUAGUUUUUAUGAAAUAGCGAUUGAAUAAAAAUAUUAGGUAUA